Molecule: unclassified non-coding RNA, 254 nt
Filed under: uncultured fungus
Lineage: Eukaryota; Fungi
Description: partial contains 5.8S ribosomal RNA, internal transcribed spacer 2, and large subunit ribosomal RNA
Source: RNAcentral
AACGCACAUUGCGCCUGCCAGUACUCUGGCAGGCAUGCCUGUCCGAGCGUCAUUUCAACCCCCAGGCCUCAGUCGCCUGUUGUUGGGGCCUCCGGGAGCCAUCCCGGAGCCCUGAAAGACAGUGGCGGGCUCGCCAGGUCACCGAGCGCAGUAAUACUCUCGCUUAGGGGCCCUGGCGGGUGCUAGCCGUGAAAACAAACCCUUCUAAUCAAUGGUUUGACCUCGGAUCAGGUAGGAAUACCCGCUGAACUUAA